UGAAACAUCUUCGGGUUGUGAGGUUAAGCGACUAAGCGUACACGGUGGAUGCCCUGGCAGUCAGAGGCGAUGAAGGACGUGCUAAUCUGCGAAAAGCGUCGGUAAGGUGAUAUGAACCGUUAUAACCGGCGAUGUCCGAAUGGGGAAACCCAGUGCAAUUCGUUGCACUAUCGUUAACUGAAUACAUAGGUUAACGAGGCGAACCGGGGGAACUGAAACAUCUAAGUACCCCGAGGAAAAGAAAUCAACCGAGAUUCCCCCAGUAGCGGCGAGCGAACGGGGAGCAGCCCAGAGUCUGAAUCAGCUUGUGUGUUAGUGGAACGGUCUGGAAAGUCCGACGGUACAGGGUGAUAGUCCCGUACACCAAAAUGCACAGGCUGUGAACUCGAAGAGUAGGGCGGGACACGUGGUAUCCUGUCUGAAUAUGGGGGGACCAUCCUCCAAGGCUAAAUACUCCUGACUGACCGAUAGUGAACCAGUACCGUGAGGGAAAGGCGAAAAGAACCCCGGCGAGGGGAGUGAAAAAGAACCUGAAACCGUGUACGUACAAGCAGUGGGAGCACCUUCGGGUGUGACUGCGUACCUUUUGUAUAAUGGGUCAGCGACUUAUAUUCUGUAGCAAGGUUAACCGUAUAGGGGAGCCGCAGGGAAACCGAGUCUUAACUGGGCGUUAAGUUGCAGGGUAUAGACCCGAAACCCGGUGAUCUAGCCAUGGGCAGGUUGAAGGUUGGGUAACACUAACUGGAGGACCGAACCGACUAAUGUUGAAAAAUUAGCGGAUGACUUGUGGCUGGGGGUGAAAGGCCAAUCAAACCGGGAGAUAGCUGGUUCUCCCCGAAAGCUAUUUAGGUAGCGCCUCGUGAACUCAUCUUCGGGGGUAGAGCACUGUUUCGGCUAGGGGGUCAUCCCGACUUACCAACCCGAUGCAAACUACGAAUACCGAAGAAUGUUAUCACGGGAGACACACGGCGGGUGCUAACGUCCGUCGUGAAGAGGGAAACAACCCAGACCGCCAGCUAAGGUCCCAAAGUCAUGGUUAAGUGGGAAACGAUGUGGGAAGGCACAGACAGCCAGGAUGUUGGCUUAGAAGCAGCCAUCAUUUAAAGAAAGCGUAAUAGCUCACUGGUCGAGUCGGCCUGCGCGGAAGAUGUAACGGGGCUAAACCAUGCACCGAAGCUGCGGCAGCGACACUAUGUGUUGUUGGGUAGGGGAGCGUUCUGUAAGCCUGCGAAGGUGUGCUGUGAGGCAUGCUGGAGGUAUCAGAAGUGCGAAUGCUGACAUAAGUAACGAUAAAGCGGGUGAAAAGCCCGCUCGCCGGAAGACCAAGGGUUCCUGUCCAACGUUAAUCGGGGCAGGGUGAGUCGACCCCUAAGGCGAGGCCGAAAGGCGUAGUCGAUGGGAAACAGGUUAAUAUUCCUGUACUUGGUGUUACUGCGAAGGGGGGACGGAGAAGGCUAUGUUAGCCGGGCGACGGUUGUCCCGGUUUAAGCAUGUAGGCUGAUUGUCCAGGCAAAUCCGGAUAAUCAAGGCUGAGGUGUGAUGACGAGGCACUACGGUGCUGAAGUAACAAAUGCCCUGCUUCCAGGAAAAGCCUCUAAGCAUCAGGUAACAUCAAAUCGUACCCCAAACCGACACAGGUGGUCAGGUAGAGAAUACCAAGGCGCUUGAGAGAACUCGGGUGAAGGAACUAGGCAAAAUGGUGCCGUAACUUCGGGAGAAGGCACGCUGGUGUGUAGGUGAAGUCCCUGCGGAUGGAGCUGAGACCAGUCGAAGAUACCAGCUGGCUGCAACUGUUUAUUAAAAACACAGCACUGUGCAAACACGAAAGUGGACGUAUACGGUGUGACGCCUGCCCGGUGCCGGAAGGUUAAUUGAUGGGGUUAUCCGUAAGGAGAAGCUCUUGAUCGAAGCCCCGGUAAACGGCGGCCGUAACUAUAACGGUCCUAAGGUAGCGAAAUUCCUUGUCGGGUAAGUUCCGACCUGCACGAAUGGCGUAAUGAUGGCCAGGCUGUCUCCACCCGAGACUCAGUGAAAUUGAACUCGCUGUGAAGAUGCAGUGUACCCGCGGCAAGACGGAAAGACCCCGUGAACCUUUACUAUAGCUUGACACUGAACAUUGAGCCUUGAUGUGUAGGAUAGGUGGGAGGCUUUGAAGCGUGGACGCCAGUCUGCGUGGAGCCAACCUUGAAAUACCACCCUUUAAUGUUUGAUGUUCUAACGUUGGCCCCUGACCGGGGUUGCGGACAGUGUCUGGUGGGUAGUUUGACUGGGGCGGUCUCCUCCCAAAGCGUAACGGAGGAGCACGAAGGUUAGCUAAUCCUGGUCGGACAUCAGGAGGUUAGUGCAAUGGCAUAAGCUAGCUUGACUGCGAGCGUGACGGCGCGAGCAGGUGCGAAAGCAGGUCAUAGUGAUCCGGUGGUUCUGAAUGGAAGGGCCAUCGCUCAACGGAUAAAAGGUACUCCGGGGAUAACAGGCUGAUACCGCCCAAGAGUUCAUAUCGACGGCGGUGUUUGGCACCUCGAUGUCGGCUCAUCACAUCCUGGGGCUGAAGUAGGUCCCAAGGGUAUGGCUGUUCGCCAUUUAAAGUGGUACGCGAGCUGGGUUUAGAACGUCGUGAGACAGUUCGGUCCCUAUCUGCCGUGGGCGCUGGAGAAGUUGAGGGGGGGCUGCUCCUAGUACGAGAGGACCGGAGUGGACGCAUCACUGGUGUUCGGGUUGUCAUGCCAAUGGCACUGCCCGGUAGCUAAAUGCGGAAGAGAUAAGUGCUGAAAGCAUCUAAGCACGAAACUUGCCCCGAGAUGAGUUCUCCCUGAGACUUUAAGUCUCCUGAAGGAACGUUAAAGACGAUGACGUUGAUAGGCCGGGUGUGUAAGCGCAGCGAUGCGUUGAGCUAACCGGUACUAAUGAACCGUGAGGCUUAACCUU
RNAcentral lists this ribosomal RNA (2925 nucleotides) under Klebsiella pneumoniae 30660/NJST258_1. RNAcentral describes it as "bacterial LSU rRNA". It matches the Rfam family "Bacterial large subunit ribosomal RNA". Lineage: Bacteria; Pseudomonadati; Pseudomonadota; Gammaproteobacteria; Enterobacterales; Enterobacteriaceae. The record is from RNAcentral.